This 141-nucleotide ribosomal RNA is filed under the name Phyllosticta citrimaxima. Its description in RNAcentral is "partial 18S ribosomal RNA". The record is from RNAcentral. Lineage: Eukaryota; Fungi; Ascomycota; Dothideomycetes; Botryosphaeriales; Phyllostictaceae.
UUCCGUAGGUGAACCUGCGGAAGGAUCAUUACUGAAAUACGUAAUCCUGAAAGGUAAUGGAAGGGGAGGCCGUAAAAAACCCAAAGAACCUCUCUCACCCUUGUGUAUCUUACCACGUUGCUUUGGCGGGCCGACCCGGUU